Long non-coding RNA from Schistocerca gregaria, 5689 nucleotides. RefSeq lists it as uncharacterized. The record is from RefSeq and is a predicted model, not a curated record. Lineage: Eukaryota; Metazoa; Arthropoda; Insecta; Orthoptera; Acrididae. The transcript is spliced from 5 exons.
AAGGUGCAACAGAUCUACUAAAGAGGGGAGAGCUUCGUUUCACCCGAACGAACUAAGAAAGUGACGUCGAGAUGACGUAGCCCAGCGUUCGCAAAGUAUAUCGAUCGGCGACUACAAAUCGAGCUGACUUAAAAGUGGCGGGAGAGUUGUGUGUUUACUGGCUCAGUGCUGUAGAGUUCUGCUGCUGCGGUAUGUCGCAAACUCCUUUUUCGGGCACUUCUUCGAGUAUGUUUACUGACCGCGUUGAAGACCGGGAAGUAGAUGUGUUCGAGAGGUUAGUGCGUUCAUCGUUGAAAGGUGUAUGUAUUAUCAGAGAAGGCGACAUCCAUGGAUUUUGCGAGACAGAAGAGGAUAUUGUCCAUCUUCUGAGCAACCUGCGCCCAUGGCUACGCAUACUCAGAAGAAGUGCGUAUUAACGGCAGCCCCCCUUAGGUGCUGCUAAACACGAGACAGGCUUCUUCUACAGCCACACAAAAGGCAACAUACCAAUACAGUUUUUUGGUCCUGUUUUCUGUGUGGUAAGCUUAGUAAAAAGAGAAUGUACUCUUCCCCUGCUAUAUCAUAAAAGGGAGACCCUGUUGCAGAUCUGGUGGACCAUGUUGACCCAAAGAAGAAAAGUUCUCAUGGACACACAAAAGAAAGGCUGUCCAGCAACAUUGGAUGUUAAGUGUGUCAGGGUAUUCCCCGAUCAUGCGAUAAACUCAGCAACAGACAGUUAAAGUCACUGAGAAACUGAGAAGAGACUUGGAGUCAACAUAGGUACCAAAAAGUUAUCUGCGAUAUUAUGUGACUGCCUCCCAAGCAAGCCACCAUAAUCAUGGCAUUAAAUGUGUGAAAACGAUUGGACACAUACACACUUUGCUUUCAAAAGAGAUCAGGGAUAUAGUUACAAAGGGGACGAACUCAGUUCGGAUAAUUAAGUUAGAACUGGAAAGAUUUGUGGAAAAAAAUUUAACUGGGGAAAACAGAUCAGAUCGGAUGAACAUAAUGUUUUAGCCAACAGAUAGUACAAUUUAUAGCCAUAUGUAUUGGGCUCUGUUCGAGUUGAAGAAAACCGUUAUAGACAAAGAUGCAUUAAGGAACACUUUUUUUUUUCCCAGACCGUUUAGAUGACAAUGGAAAAGUGCAGCCAUUGCUUUUUUGUUACCAGCACAAGUGGCAAAGGGAACUUUUGAAAAGGUAUGGUAGGGUAUGUUUGCUUGAUGCAACAUACAAGACAACGAAGUAUGACAUUUCAUUAUUUUUCUUGGUAGUGAAAGCUAAUGUAUGCUAUUUAGUAGUUGGGAUAUUCGUUCUUCAAGUAGAAAACACUGCAACGAUUAAGGAGGCUCUAGACAUUUUCAAGGCAUGGAACCCAGACUGGAAUCCAGUUCCAUGGGUUACGUAUUUCUCUGUGCCUGAGAUAUGGGCAAUUAAAGGAACAUUUUCAAUGUCAAGGGUUUAUCUUUUUUUAUUUCAUCAAAAGCAAGCCUGGCAACAGUGGCUUAGCAAAAAGAACAAUUUAGACAUACUGCGAGACAGUGAGCAAAUUCUGAAGCUGUGGGAAGAAAUUGCAGAGUCACCAUCUGAAGAAAAAUUCUUAACUGCAAAACACAACCUUCAAUCUCAUGAAUUAGUAACUAGAAAUUCUGGUGCACUUGAUUAUUUUAAUAAGCAAUGGCUUUCAGUAUCUGAAAGGUGCGUGAAGGCCUAUGAGGACAAGCAGAAUUUCUUCGCUAAUAUAACUACUACUAAUGGUGUUGAAUCACUAAAUAAGUGAAACAUUUUUUUCUUAGACAUUCAGCAGAUAAAACAUUGACAGGUGUUGUUAAAGUUUUAAUAAAUGAUUUCCUCUCUAGCCUCUUUAAAAAAUAUUGUCUGAAGAAUUCAGCUGUGAAAUCUUACAGCAGAGCGAUUCCUCACUUCUUGCGUAACAAGUCACACGAAUUUGUGAAUCACGUAAUGAAAAAGUAUUCGCCAGCGCAAACUGGACUUACUGAAAGCUCAGUGAAAUAAAUGGGUGAGGGAUUAUUUUGUGUAGAAAGUGCAGAGGCCAAGGAUUGUUACUAUGUGGUAAAUUUUGCAAAGCCUAAUUGCACAUGUGAAGACUUCCAAAGGUGGAAAUAUUCAUGCAAACAUUUCUGCGCAAUUUUCAUUUAUUACUGUGGCUAGGACUUUAAUAAGUUGAAUGACAAUUACAUGAACAGCCCUUUAAUUUGUCUCGAUGGGACCUUUGGGUUUGGCUCGAGCAGCAGUUGGUCUGAAUCUGCCAGUCCUGUAUUACAAAGUUCAGAGGAUACCAGCAGUGAGAAGGCAGUAAACCAAGGCAGUGACAAUCCCAGAAGCUCAACUUCAUCAGAGGAACAAGAUAAAAGGCAGUUAGCUAGGCUGGUUAUAAACCUGACCUACAGCACUAUAAAAAUUAAGACUUUGAGAAUGUGUGCACUAGCUACAUCUUAUCCUGAGGAUGAUGUAAUAGCAUCAUGAUUUAAAAAAAAAAUCAGAAAUUUGUCUUUGUCUUACUUGAACACCAAGGCCACUUUUGCAGCAACCUGUAACAAUACAAAGUUGUCAAAUCAUGUAAAGUGAAGUGAUAAAAUAACAUGCUGCUAGAAAUAUAAUUCAGAAUCGGAUACUAUACUCACUUCUGUCUCCAUGUGGUAAUUUGUUCACUGAGCAGAAAACCUGGAAAAUUCAGCUAUUUGUCUGAAACUGUAGCUGAGCAAUCUCAUCAGUGUUCAUUAUAUUUUCCCUUGGACUGAUACAGUCUAAGUGCAGAAAGCAAAAUUAAUUGAAAAAAUUGUCUUGUAAUAAGAAUUUAUGUAAAUAAAUGUUAUCACAUUACGCACCUUGAUGAUACACAACCAGGUAAUGUGCCACAGCAACCUUAUUUUUAACGGUAGGGACUCCCGCACCUAGGUAUGCAUUUGUGUGUCAAUUACACUUUCCACGAGAUCAGGAGGUUCAGAGGAAUGAUCACAACAUUGCCUCUCGCUGCUGAGAGAAGGCAACUGUGUCACCUGAAUGGGAAUACAAUGAUUAACUUUAAAAUAACUUGGCCAGAAAGUGAUUUUAAUCAAAAAUCAAUGCAGAUACUGACAUACCUUGAUGUUGCCAAGGUGAUCUGCAACUCUCUUGUAAAUUUUGCUUGUGGCUUGUCCAUUGCUCCCAUACAGUACAAAAGAACCAAAAAAGCUGAUCUGACUGCUGCUUUUAAAUGUGGCAAAAGAACACAGAGUACCUGUGAACCGUGAAAUAAUCUAGUAAGCAAAAAAGGGUAAACAAUACAUAUUUAAUGACGAAGCAUAUGUAACACGUUUAACUGCAAAAGGGGAUAACUCCCACACCACCCAUAGCUUUAAAAUAAAAGAUUGCAAUUCUUACCUAUCACUACUGCAAUCUAUAUAUGACUGACAAGGUGUUGAGAAAAAUGUCCUUUGCAAAUAAUAAUCUGUACGUACACAGAGUAACUGUCGUAAAUAGUACAGAUUCAUUCUACUUGAUGCAGAGUACACAUAACAUGUAUAAGAAUGGUAAUAUUAUAACAACGCGAAGCCCAGGAUGGAAUAACAAUUUUGCACUGUUAUCCAUCUUGGCUUUCAGCCAAAGCUCCUUCAUCUGAAAUACAAAUUAGACACACAUUCUGGCCACAGUAGUGAGAGACAUUGGUCAUGGGUGUGUGUUUUUCUAUUUCAGGUGAAGGCCUUUGGGCUGAAAGCUAAGAGUUAUCAAUCUUUUAAUUGUACCAAUUUGUGAGAACAUUUUGUAUCCUUUUAGUAAUGUCAAUAUUCUACUUCAUUAAGUCUGCCACAAUUGGGAAGUCCUCAAUUAAAGCUGAUCUUCUACAGAUAAUUUCUACUUUUUGGAUAGUGAAUGUCAAACAUACUGAGUGAAUUUGGAAUUGGCAGCAACAUGUCAGUUCAUCUUUAGCAAAGUGUAAACAAAUUUCAUUGUAGUAAAUUACAAUUUACAGGAUAUGUUUAUCAGCAGUGACUAAGGGCUUAACCCAUUGUCUUUAAUUAUCAACAAUCAAAGAUCCUCUUGCAACACUGUCUAAAUUGUUUACUCUAUCUGCAAGGUUGCCUUCAUCUCAUGGUUGGUAGUCUUAAGUUGUUUUACAGAAGUAAUUGCAGAUGUAACACGUGUCAUUAAAAUUUCAGUAUGGAAAAAACCAAACACUGUGUGUGACAUGACUUUUUACCAAGCACCCCUAUACUCUAUACAAUGAGUUGAUAAAAUAUUAGGAGUUGCACACAUAGAAUGAGUGGUAUCAUGCAACAGAUUGUCUCCAUUUUUUACGUACCUAUCCCUGCACUUCAUAGGUCAAUGAAAAUGUCAGAGCUACCGAGGUAAAUCUUUCCAAAUAGGUGAGGCUCUAUACCAUCUCACUGUUGGAAAUUAAAGGGGCAGGAUAACAAAUGAGGGCAGCUCAAGGAGUGUGUGUUGAUCUCAAGAAGAUUGGCAAGCAGGGGGAUAAGUAGCUACUGGAAUGAUACUACUGAUGAAAAUAGCAAUACUUCAGUGAUUAAUGGAUCUACAGACCAGAGCCUCAGACAAAUUCGUAUAUGUAUACACACAUAGGUAGAAUAAUUGAAUAAUCUUUGGGAAUUGUAUUUAACAGCCAAUUGUGUCAAAGUAACUGUACAACAUUUAGUCCAUUCAUGCAUGUGAUGAGGCAUUAGCUACUUAAGACAAGAGCUCCUUUCAUCUGACCACCACCAGACUGUAUACAGCAAAUUCCACAACAGUGGAACAAUAAAACUUUUAAGCGAAAAUAUCGAAAAUUGUACCCUAUAGUACAGUACAAGAACCAUGUAGAUUGAGUCAUCCCAGGUGCCUCUACCUUUCAGUAAUUAUAGUAAUGUGUAAUGAAAGGGGGAAAAAACUGUACGAGAGAUAAGGUGGAGGGAAUGGGGGCAGAGAGAGAGAGAAAAUUUGCUUACAGGAAGAUUUAUAAGGCACAUAUUAUUAGAACAGGAAAAGUUUUUAAGGUAGGACAAACUAUGAGAGGAGGAAGGGGCAGCUUGCACUUGUGCAGACUAGACAAUGGUUGUUAUGUGGAAGCAGCUCAAGUUUUGAACCAACUAUUGUGAAUAAUCUAGAAUAGGGCCAGUGAGGUACUUAUACGUUUCGCGCAGGAAUGUUUUCAGCACUUCUUGUGAAGUAUAAUGGAACAAAAGAGGGUGUGUCAGCUGUGUUAUACAGCCAAUGAGGUAGCAGUAGGCAGACUAUAUGUUUCAAUGUAAUACAUGUGAAACAUUGUUGUAAACAAAAAUCAUAUAUUUAACUGCUCCCUGUUUGAGUCACAGCUAUUUAAACUGUGCUAGCAUCUGAAAACUGAGUUCAGUGUCACAACCCAAGAUGUAUUUGAGAAAGAAGUGAAAUAUGUUUCUCCUCUUCUAACAUGACAUUAGAGGGAAUAGCAAUUUUCAAAUCAUAUUUUUCAGUGCAUACUCUUAUGUGUGCAUUGCUCCUUUAAGCUUACACACAAACUGUUGUUCAAAAUGACAAGUUGUUACAGUGUUUCUAAAAUGUUUAUACUAUUGUACAUGUCAAUGUAUUUUAUGUUUUGCAUUUAUGUAAGCAAGCAUGGACUAUGCAUGUGAAUUGGACAUAUGAAGAAAUGUCAUAGUGUAAUUAUCCUUGUUGAGUGAAAACUAAACUCCAUGUAUUUCUUAUUAUGGAUAAUAAAACAAUGUGGUAUCAAUAA